GAUGAACGCUGACGGAAUGCUUAACACAUGCAAGUCGAUGGGGAAGUGGUGCUUGCACCAUGGCAACCAUGGCGGACGGGUGAGUAACGCGUAAGGGACUUACCUGCAGGACUGGGAUAACAGGGGGAAACUCCUGACAAGACCGGAUAAUGUCAUGGAGCUGCAUGGCUUUAUGAUGAAAGGAGACGCCUGCGGAGAGCCUUGCGUCCUAUUAGCUAGUUGGUGAGGUAAUGGCUCAUCAAGGCGAAGAUAGGUAGCCGGCCUGAGAGGGUGGACGGCCACAAGGGGACUGAGAUACGGCCCUUACUCCUACGGGAGGCAGCAGUGGGGAAUAUUGGACAAUGGGGGCAACCCUGAUCCAGCAAUUCUGUGUGCACGAAGAAGGUUUUCGGAGUGUAAAGUGCUUUCAGCAGGGAAGAAGUAAGUGACGGUACCUGCAGAAGAAGCGACGGCUAAAUACGUG
Molecule: ribosomal RNA, 463 nt
Filed under: uncultured bacterium
Lineage: Bacteria
Description: partial 16S ribosomal RNA
Rfam family: Bacterial small subunit ribosomal RNA
Source: RNAcentral